RNAcentral lists this long non-coding RNA (962 nucleotides) under Ananas comosus (pineapple). RNAcentral describes it as "long non-coding RNA (ACOM_LNC029172)". The record is from RNAcentral. Lineage: Eukaryota; Viridiplantae; Streptophyta; Magnoliopsida; Poales; Bromeliaceae.
UAGCUUGUCUUCUUCCCCAAUUAUCCUCUUCUUCUCCACUCCUUUCUCUUCUCCUUCCCCAAAGCCCUACUCUAAUUUUUCUAAAACCCUAUUCUCUUCCUCCUAAUCUCUCUCCCUAUCUCUCUCUGUUUCUCUACCUCUCCUUCUCUUUCACAAACUCACCUCCAAAUCACCCCAAAUCAUCCGGUACAUAACAAUUAGGGCUGACAAACGAGCGAGCCGGCUCGCGUUCGACUCGUGUUCGGCUCAAUAUUUGGCUCGCUCGAGCUCGACUUGAAAUUGAAUGAGCCGAGCUUGAACAAAAUAAAAGGCUCGAAAUUCAUUUCAAGCCGAGCUUGGGUAUUACUCGGUUCGUUCGAAUUAAGCUCGAAAAGCUCGAAAAGCUCGAAUAUAUAUAUAUAUAUAUAUAUAUAUAUAUAUAUAUAUAUAUAUAUAUAUAUAGGCUUUAAUUUAAUUUAGAUCAUUAUUGUUGGUCCAUAAAAUAAACCCAACAAGCACAACCGUGCAAUUGAACUCAACUCUAAAUUUACAUAACACACUCUCUCUUUCAGACUUUCACUAUUGCACGUAAUCCUAAAAUAUGAUAACAUUCAACUUCCCAAAUCCCUAAUUUUUUUUCCCUCUCUCUCUCUCUCUCUCGUUCUCCCUCAGACCCUCACCCAGUCAGGCACUCACCCUAGCUCAUAUUUCUUGCAAUUUAUUUUGUAUUUUGAACUAUUGGACAUGUUGUAUCAAAUUGUAGGUAAUGUUUUAUAAAAAUUAAACUAUUGAUUAUAUAAUGUCGAGAAUUUCAAUCGGCUCGUUUAGAGCUCGAGCUCGGCUCGACUCGAAAUUAGGCUCGCUCGAGCUCGGCUCGAAUUAAUUUCAAGCCGAGCUUGAGCCUAGAUUUAAGCUCGAAAUUAAUUUCAAGCCGAAUUUGAGCUGACAUAAGCUCGCUCGAGCUCGGCUCGUUUCCACCCCUA